RNAcentral lists this microRNA precursor (66 nucleotides) under Eptatretus burgeri (inshore hagfish). RNAcentral's name for it is "Ebu-Mir-132-P1f_pre stem-loop". The record is from RNAcentral. Lineage: Eukaryota; Metazoa; Chordata; Myxini; Myxiniformes; Myxinidae.
CCCGUGGCGUUAGACUGUUACUCUGGCCUAUUUGUCCCCGUUGGUAACAGUCUAUAGCCAUGGUUG